This 446-nucleotide ribosomal RNA is filed under the name uncultured bacterium. Its description in RNAcentral is "SSU rRNA". It matches the Rfam family "Bacterial small subunit ribosomal RNA", at positions 26 to 518 of the family's 1533-position model. The record is from RNAcentral.
AGGAUGAACGCUGGCGGUCUGCUUAACACAUGCAAGUCGAACGGAGUAGCAAUACUUAGUGGCGGACGGGUGAGUAACGCGUGAGAAUCUACCUUCAGGACGGAGACAACAGUUGGAAACGACUGCUAACCCCCGAUGUACCGAAAGGGCAAAUAUUUAUAGCCUGAAGAAGAGCUCGCGUCCGAUUAGCUAGUUGGAGAGGUAAAAGCUCACCAAGGCGACGAUCGGUAGCUGGUCUGAGAGGACGAUCAGCCACACUGGGACUGAGACACGGCCCAGACUCCUACGGGAGGCAGCAGUGGGAAUUUCCGCAAUGGGCGAAAGCCUGACGGAGCAAGACCGCGUGGGGGAAGAAGGCUCUUGGGUUGUAAACCCCUUUUCUCUGGGAAGAACGCAAUGACGGUACCAGAGGAAUCAGCAUCGGCUAACUCCGUGCCAGCAGCCGC